GAUGAACGCUGACAGAAUGCUUAACACAUGCAAGUCGAUGGGGAAGUGGUGCUUGCACCAUGGUAACCAUGGCGGACGGGUGAGUAACGCGUAAGGAACUUGCUUGCGGGACUGGGAUAACAGCAGGAAACUGCUGAUAGUACCGGAUAAGGUCAUUAAGCUACAUAGCUUAGUGAUGAAAGGAGACGCCUGCGGAGAGCCUUGCGUCCUAUUAGCUAGUUGGAGGGGUAACGGCCCACCAAGGCGAAGAUAGGUAGCCGGCCUGAGAGGGUGGACGGCCACAAGGGGACUGAGAUACGGCCCUUACUCCUACGGGAGGCAGCAGUGGGGAAUAUUGGACAAUGGGGGCAACCCUGAUCCAGCAAUUCUGUGUGCACGAAGACGGUUUUCGGAUUGUAAAGUGCUUUCAGCAGGGAAGAAGGAAGUGACGGUACCUGCAGAAGAAGCGACGGCUAAAUACGUG
Molecule: ribosomal RNA, 463 nt
Filed under: uncultured bacterium
Lineage: Bacteria
Description: partial 16S ribosomal RNA
Rfam family: Bacterial small subunit ribosomal RNA
Source: RNAcentral